UUCUCUCUGCUGGCCCUUGCGCACAUAUAUUUUUUCCAACUUCGGUUAAUUCGGUUUAACCGAACGGUUUUCGGUUUUAAACCGAAAAAACCGAGGAGCAAAUGGUUUCUAAAAUUCAAAACUGAAACUGAAACCGAAAACUGGAAAAACCGAAAUUUCAGUUCGGUUUGGUUUUUUUGGUUUGGUUUUUGGUUUUCGGUUCGGUUUUGCACACCCUGACCAAUCACCCGCACUCCACAACCCUCACUCCCUCCUCGAUCUCUCUCCCUCAGCCACCACAAACUCUAGGUCCUCCCCUUCUACCCUGCUCUCCACCGCGCCUCCUCCUCCUCCCCUUCACCAUUCCCUCCAGCGGCAGGCACAGGGAGACGACGGCGGCGCUCGAUUUGAUCCGCCCCGCUCCCCUCCCUCUCCACUGCGCCUCGGCCUCGGCCGCCCCGUGCUCUGCCGGUGCCUGUCGGCCUCGAUCCGGCCUCGGCAGGAGGAGCUUGCCCUCGAGACAGGAGGAGGGGAGCAGCAGGAUACAGGAGCAUGGCCUUCUUCUCGCGCUGCAGCCGCCAGCCUUGUCCUGCUCGAGGAGGAGGAGCAGCAGGAGGGGCGCACCCAGCCACCCAGGUAGCCGUCGUCGAGGGCUUCUUACACCUGAACCACGAUCUCCACGGUGUUGGCGUCCAGCAACUCGAGUUCAAGGGAAGGAGAGGAUGAUGACGCCCAGACAUGGAGAGGAUCAACAGCAGCUCAAGUGCCUGCUUAUAAUGUGGUGAAGCUACAGGGAAGAGGGAGGAAGCCGGCGACAGGGUGAAGGAGCAGGCCGGCCCUCAUGGAGGCAGCGCUAUCAGCCAGCUAGGGAGGCGGUCCGACUCGCCUCUGCUAUGCCGUGAGUGGCGGCGCUACCUCUGCCUCCAGCCUCACCUCCUCUGCCAACCAUGGGAAAAUUUAGGGGAGACCCAAGGCGAGCUUCCCCUCUGUUGCAUGCACUCCUGAUCUCUAAAGAUUUCUGUAGCCUAAAUGCCUAUGUACCAUAAUAAUAAUUCAAGCGGAUGGCCAAUGCGCCUUGGUGUUUAGCGGUAUGAUGGUCGGUGAAAGUAUGUUAUAUAUAUAUUGCAAGGAUCAUAAGAUGCCUUUACACAUGAUUGUGUGAUGCUCAGAAACAUUUUGCACAGUAGAAACUUCUUGUGAAGCUUGAUUUUAUUCAGAGCCAUAUGAUUUUUUUAUAGAAACAUGUGCAGAGUAAAAUGGACACAUCUUCUGGUACAUCUGAGGACAGAGUGAUUUCUUUUCAUAGAAUGUUGUCAUCUAUAUCUUGCUGAAGUACAGAACUAUUGCACCAACGACCACAAUGGGAUGCAUCAAGCAGCCAAGACUCAGAGUGUGGUCGGGCAGCGCCAUGGGGCAGAUCUGUGCGGCGCAAGGGGUGGCAGAUGCGAAACUGAAGCUUCCCCGAACUUCGGAGCAGUCAAUUGAGCAGAUGGACACGACGAUAUGUAAUUCGUCAUAUUUAGAAUAGCUAGGAAAAGUGGAAAGUGGUUUUUUUAACCUAAGUGAAAAGUGGUUGGUUACUUCUGAAAUGGAAAUUAGUAAAAUCAUCAGAAAAAAAUAGUAACUCUUCAGCUUAAAAAUUGUAGCAAUAUUAGUGUUGGUCGGUGGAAAAUUGUGAAGUUCAGUCCCCAAGCCCUGAAUCAUAAACCUGAUUAGAGUUCUUGUCAUAUUUAGAAUAGCUCGGAAGCUAUGGAUUCGUCGUGCUAUUUCUGAUUUUUUUGGUUUCGUUCAACAGCGAACCCAGAAGGGGGAGGCUCCUGAAUAAUUCAUAGGACAGCGGCUGAAUAAUUGGAAGAAUCAUUUUGUACACACAGGAUAGUACAGACAACAUAAUGCUUAGUCAUUUUUGAAUUAGGUUCAGAUAGGUAUGGCUUAUGGGUCUUGUACUGAUAGUACUGACAAUGUUGAUUAAUCCUUCGAUGGAACUUAUUAGCAGCUUUGGCCAUAUUGUUUGAUGUGCUUAAAUAAUCAAUAUAUGAUAGUACUGUGUAUAGUAUCAGCUGCACUGAAGAUAUAAAUUCUGUUUUGUGCAAGCAGAGUGAGGAUUGGUGCUACCGCCCCUGGUAGGAGCCCAAUGUCCUAAUCGAACUACUGUCAUGGAGAGGGCAAUACUUGGAUUUGCUUCAGAUAUUGGAGAUAACGCCAUUGUGCCGAAGCUCGGAACAAUCUUCGAUACAUUGGGUGAAGCUUACGAUUUUUACAAUCUGUAUUUAUAAGAGAAAGGAUUUGGCAUUCGAUAUGGUAAAAGCUGUCUGAAUGUCGAGAGGACGUGGAAAUCUAUUGGGGAUAAUACUGGUCUUGCCGGCGUUAGUGCCCUACUCUGAUAAGGCUGCUGCAGUCUGAACCAUUCAUUGUAUCGCACGUAUGCACAGACGAUACACUGACGAUCGCACAAGCACAUCAACGUGUACAGCAGGUAUUUGAUGAAGAAUUUGAGGCAGAACAAUGUGAACCUUGCUAAAGUGCACAACAUUAGGCAGUUUCCUUGGGUUGAUGGAGAAUGUGCCUUUCACAAAAAGAGCUUCAAGGAGCUUGUGUGGCAAAAUAAGCCGCGAGCAACCGGCUGAUGAUGUUAGUUAAACGAUGGAGGUGUUUGCGGAGCUUGGUUCAAAGGAUCCUCACUUCAAAUAUCAUGUGCAUGCCGAUAAGGAGGGAAGGAUAAACGCACUCAUGUGGGAAAAUGGGGACAGUAGGCUGGUGCAAAAAAGACUGUAGCUUAUUCUCAAAUUUUCUAUCUCCAAUACUGAAUCUGGUGUGUACCGAUAAAUCAUGUAGCGUGUGAGAUCCAUCAUGCAGUUUAACUGCUAAUCCCAAUUAUGUUAUGCAUGCCCUGAAGCUGAUGAAUUUGUGUUCUCCUAUACUGAAAUGUCAAAUUGAUUGUGUGUA
Molecule: long non-coding RNA, 2925 nt
Organism: Triticum dicoccoides
Lineage: Eukaryota; Viridiplantae; Streptophyta; Magnoliopsida; Poales; Poaceae
Exons: 9
Source: RefSeq, a predicted model, not a curated record